Molecule: long non-coding RNA, 1105 nt
Organism: Solanum tuberosum (potato)
Lineage: Eukaryota; Viridiplantae; Streptophyta; Magnoliopsida; Solanales; Solanaceae
Exons: 2
Source: RefSeq, a predicted model, not a curated record
GGACCUCUUCUUUAUCAACUACAAAAGGAAAUAAUGAGUCAGUUCAAGGAAAUCUGGACAUUGCAAGUUAUUAUACCAAGAUGAAAAGACUAUGGGAUGAGCUGGACAACCUAGAUAUUUUGUCAACCUUGCACCUGUGAUUGUUCAUGUGGAGGUAAGGUGAGAUCUCACAAAUCUGAACAAGAUACAAUGUUUAUUCAGUUCUUAAUGGGACUGAAGGAAGCUUAUGCAGGACCUAGAAGCAACUUUUUGUUGCUUUCCCCUCUUCCCUCAGUGAACUAUGCAUAUUCUCUCCUCAUCAGGGACGAGAAACAAAGGGAAGUUCAUGUCUCACAGCAUGCUGCACCUACAGCUUUUUAUGCUUCUAAACAAAGAACAAAUACUUAUUCAGGAUCUUCUACUUCCACUGCUGGGAUUUCUAGACAGCCCUAUAAUUCAUAAAAAUCUGUAGAAAGGAAACUUGUAACUGAAGGAAAGAAAAUUGCUAAUGGCCUAUUCUGUUCUUAUUGUAAGAAAACAAACCACACUAUUGAAAAUUGUUACAGGCUGAUAGGUUUUCCUUCUGAUUUGAAAUUCACAAAGCCAAAGAAGAUGGGACCCCAAUCAAAAGCAAUUCUGCUUGUUCCAUUGAUGAAUCAAGUAGCAAUUCAGGAGACAAGCCAAUGACCCAGGAUCAAUACCACCACCUAUAUCAGUUUUUGCAACAUGUGAAGCUAGGAGCAGAACCACAAACUAAUACAGAAGAAUCUGCAACAGUUAAUUGUAUUGGGCCUUCAAUGAAGAGGCCACUGGUUCUUGGUAAAGUCACUACGGGGCUCUAUCUUCUACAUUCAACUAGCACCAGACAAGUCAAGCCUUCAGAUAUUCUAUCUCUUUCUAGCAAAGUUUUUAAUUCUGCUUGUAAUCAAGUGUUAUAGCACAAGUACCAAGUUCUUCUUUAUUUUUAGAAUCUGUUCCUUGUGAUGUUUGUGCUAGAGCAAAGCAAACUAAGUUACCUUUGGGGUCUAGUACUAUUGUUUCUAAACAUCUUUUUGAUCUCAUACAUGUUGAUACAUGGGGACCUUACAAGACCCCAACACAUGAUGGUUUUAAGUACUUUCUAACC